AUGUUAACGGAGUAUUUCAAGGCUAACCAGGAACACCGUUGGGCUAGGAAUAUAUUGUAUAAGAAUUUUCCCGGAAGCUUCACGUGGCAGCAGCAAAAGAAGUCUUGGAAGCCCCGGGUCGAGCGUUUUCAAAUAGGUUGCAUCGUGUCUGCCAAUCCAGCCGAGGGGGAGCGAUACUACCUGCGUGUAUUGCUGAACCAUGUUUCGGGCAAAACCUCAUUCGAGGACUUGCUCACCGUGGGCGGCGUGCUAUGUGGGAGCUUUAGAGAGGCUGCUGAACGGUUGGGUCUCAUUGAGGCAAACAACACGCUUGACGACUGUCUUAAUGAGGCUGAGCAGUGGGUGAUGCCAUGUUCUCUUAGGAGGCUCUUCGCAACCAUCUUGGUGCAUUACGAGCCAGGCGACGUGCGCGGUUUGUGGGAUAGGCACCUCGAGCCUAUGUCAGAUGACUAUCGUCGAACACGCACGUCGCCCAAGGAGGUGGAGCAGUUGGUGUUGCUUGACAUUAGGGCUAUGUUGCAGUCCAUGGGUAAAGAUGUUGUUGAUUUCGCUCUUCCAAUCAUCGAUGAUGCGUUUGACCCAACCGAUGGUGAGUGUAGAGAGGUCAUAGAGGAAUCAACCAUUGAGUUUGACAUGGAUGACACUAAAUUGGCAUCUUCCCUGAACUCGGAGCAGAGGGCCGCAUACGAUGAGAUACUGGCGGUUGUUGAAUGCGGUGAUGGGGGUGUAUUCUUUGUUGAUGGCCCUAGAGGUACAGGGAAGACCUUCUUAUACAGGGCGAUGCUUGCCAAGGUGAGGAGCGAGGGCAAGAUUGGUAUCGCUACCGCGACGUCGGGCGUCGCCGCUUCUAUAAUGCCUGGCGGCAGGACUACCCACUCGAGGUUCAAGAUACCACUGAGUUGCGAUGAUGGUGCCUCCUGCAGCUUCACCAAGCAAAGUGGGAUUGCCAAGCUGCUUAGGAUGGCCUCAUUGAUAAUAUGGGACGAGGACAGCAUGACGAAGCAACAAGCAGUUGAGGCAUUGGACAAUAGCAUGCGUGACAUCAUUGGAAUACGCGACCGACCCUUUGGAGGAAAGACUAUUGUUUUUGGCGGGGACUUUAGGCAGGUGCUUCCGGUUGUCAGAAGGGGGUCGCGGGGCCAGAUUAUUGAUGCAACACUUCGAAGUUCUCAUCUGUGGAAGGGUAUGCGGCAACUUCGGCUCGUUACCAACAUGAGGGCUCAUAAUGACACUUGGUUUGCAGAUUACUUGCUUAGGGUUGGCAAUGGCACUGAGGAUGUCGACGAUCAAGACAACAUACUACUCCCUAAAGACAUUUGUCUGCCUUCUACAGGCGAGGUUGACGACUUGGAGAAGCUUAUUGACCACGUGUUUUCGAGUCUAGAUGACAACAUGUCUGAUUCGAAUUACAUGACAUGUCGCGCAAUCCUCUCCACCACAAACGACAAUGUUUUGACAAGAUAA
Molecule: ribosomal RNA, 1464 nt
Filed under: Triticum aestivum (bread wheat)
Lineage: Eukaryota; Viridiplantae; Streptophyta; Magnoliopsida; Poales; Poaceae
Description: partial small subunit ribosomal RNA
Source: RNAcentral